AUGAGUCACCUAUUCUGGAACUGCCGGGGGGCAGGGAACCGCCGGACAGUUCAGGAAGUUGGGGCUCUUGUUAAAGCCCAUUCCCCCAGAUUUGUCUUCCUAGCUGAAACAAGGCAAACAAGUGCAAAGGUAGAGCAUCUAAAGUGGAAGAUAGGUCUGAAAGGUUUAUGUGGUGUUGAUGCUGAGGGUCUUGGAGGGGGUUUAGCAUUAUUCUGGGAUGACACCAUCCAUGUAACGGUUCUGGACUCUUGCAAGAGGUAUAUUGAUGUGAGUAUUGUUGACCAAGGGUCUGGUAAGUCUUGGAGAUCCACCUUUGUCUACGGAGAACCACGUGUGGAGCAUUGACACCGUAUGUGGGAGCAUCUAAUCAGGCUCAGGGCUAUCUCAAACUUACCGUGGUUGGUCUGUGGUGAUUUCAACGAAGCCCUGUGGCAGCAUGAGCAUUUUUCUAGAACAAAUAGAAAUGAAAACCAAAUGGAGGCGUUUAGAGAUACACUCUUCGUAUGCGAACUGGUUGACUUGGGGUUCUUGGGUGCGCCAUACACUUAUGAUAAUGGCCAUCAUGGGAACGGUAAUGUCCGAGUUCGUCUGGACCGGGCAUGUGGAAAUGAUUGGAGGGAUGUGUUUCCGUAUGCAUGGGUGCAACAUUUGGUCUCACCUCGGUCGGACCAUUGUCCCUUAUUGUUACACCUUGAUGAGGUACAGGAC
This 708-nucleotide ribosomal RNA is filed under the name Triticum aestivum (bread wheat). RNAcentral's name for it is "partial small subunit ribosomal RNA". Lineage: Eukaryota; Viridiplantae; Streptophyta; Magnoliopsida; Poales; Poaceae. The record is from RNAcentral.